GUAACGGCGAGUGAAGCGGCAAUAGCUCAAAUUUGAAAGCUGGCCCCUUCGGGGUCCGCGUUGUAAUUUGUAGAGGAUGAUUCGGCGAGGGCUCCCGUCUAAGUCCCUUGGAACAGGGCGUCAUAGAGGGUGAGAAUCCCGUAUGUGAUGGGCUGCCUUAGCCAUGUGAAUCUCCUUCGACGAGUCGAGUUGUUUGGGAAUGCAGCUCUAAAUGGGAGGUAAAUUUCUUCUAAAGCUAAAUACCGGCCAGAGACCGAUAGCGCACAAGUAGAGUGAUCGAAAGAUGAAAAGCACUUUGGAAAGAGAGUUAAAAAGUACGUGAAAUUGUUGAAAGGGAAGCGCUUGCAGCCAGACUUGUCCGCAGUUGCUCAGCUUGUCUCCUGACAGGCGUACUCUUCUGCGGCCAGGCCAGCAUCAGUUCGGGCGGUCGGAUAAAGACCUGGGGAAUGUAGCUCCUCUCGGGGAGUGUUAUAGCCCUGGGUGCAAUGCGGCCAGCCUGGACUGAGGAUCUCGCUUCGGCUAGGAUGCUGGCGUAAUGGCUGUAAGCGGCCCGUCUUGAAACACGGACCAAGGAGUCUAACAUCUAUGCGAGUGUUUGGGUGUCAAACCCAUGCGCGUAAUGAAAGUGAACGGAGGUGGGAACCCUCACGGGUGCACCAUCGACCGAUCCUGAUGUCUUCGGAUGGAUUUGAGUAAGAGCAUAGCUGUUGGGACCCGAAAGAUGGUGAACUAUGCCUGAAUAGGGUGAAGCCAGAGGAAACUCUGGUGGAGGCUCGCAGCGGUUCUGACGUGCAAAUCGAUCGUCAAAUUUGGGUAUAG
RNAcentral lists this ribosomal RNA (819 nucleotides) under Neofusicoccum pandanicola. RNAcentral's name for it is "partial 28S large subunit ribosomal RNA". It matches the Rfam family "Eukaryotic large subunit ribosomal RNA", at positions 83 to 920 of the family's 3401-position model. Lineage: Eukaryota; Fungi; Ascomycota; Dothideomycetes; Botryosphaeriales; Botryosphaeriaceae. The record is from RNAcentral.